UACGUAGGGGGCAAGCGUUGUCCGGAUUCAUUGGGCGUAAAGAGCGUGUAGGCGGCCAGGUAGGUCCGUUGUGAAAACUCGAGGCUCAACCUCGAGACGUCGAUGGAAACCAUCUGGCUAGAGUCCGGAAGAGGAGAGUGGAAUUCCUGGUGUAGCGGUGAAAUGCGCAGAUAUCAGGAAGAACACCUAUGGCGAAGGCAGCCCCCUGGGCCAACACUGACGCUCAGGCACGAAAGCGUGGGGAGCAAACAGG
This 253-nucleotide ribosomal RNA is filed under the name uncultured bacterium. Its description in RNAcentral is "partial 16S ribosomal RNA". It matches the Rfam family "Bacterial small subunit ribosomal RNA", at positions 524 to 776 of the family's 1533-position model. The record is from RNAcentral.